AGAGGUGUAGCUCAAGUGGUAGAGCACACCCUUAGCAUGCACGAGGUCCUGGGUUCAAUCCCCAGUACCUCCU
RNAcentral lists this transfer RNA (73 nucleotides) under Camelus bactrianus (Bactrian camel). It matches the Rfam family "tRNA". From Rfam's summary of the family: Transfer RNA (tRNA) molecules are approximately 80 nucleotides in length. Their secondary structure includes four short double-helical elements and three loops (D, anti-codon, and T loops). Lineage: Eukaryota; Metazoa; Chordata; Mammalia; Artiodactyla; Camelidae. RNAcentral also lists the same sequence under 1 other name. The record is from Rfam by way of RNAcentral.